GAUGAACGCUGGCGGCGUGCUUAACACAUGCAAGUCGAACGGAAAGGCCCAAGCUUGCUUGGGUGCUCGAGUGGCGAACGGGUGAGUAACACGUGGGUGAUCUGCCCUGCACUUUGGGAUAAGCCUGGGAAACUGGGUCUAAUACCGGAUAGGACCAUUGUUUAGUGUCGGUGGUGGAAAGUUUUUCGGUGUGGGAUGAGCGCGCGGCCUAUCAGCUUGUUGGUGGGGUAAUGGCCUACCAAGGCGUCGACGGGUCGCCGGCCUGGGAGGGUGUACGGCCACAUUGGGACUGCGAGACGGCCCAGACGCCUACGGGAGGCAGCAGUGGGGAAUAUUGCACAAUGGGCGCAAGCCUGAUGCAGCGACGCCGCGGGGGGGAGGACGGCCUUCGGGUUGUAAACUCCUGUCGCCAAGGACGAAGCGUUUUGUGACGGUACUUGGAGAAGAAGCACCGGCUAACUACGUG
Molecule: ribosomal RNA, 466 nt
Filed under: uncultured bacterium
Lineage: Bacteria
Description: partial 16S ribosomal RNA
Rfam family: Bacterial small subunit ribosomal RNA
Source: RNAcentral